Molecule: ribosomal RNA, 619 nt
Filed under: uncultured marine Prymnesiales
Lineage: Eukaryota; Haptophyta; Prymnesiales
Description: SSU rRNA
Rfam family: Eukaryotic small subunit ribosomal RNA
Source: RNAcentral
AACCAGCUUGCUGGUUGCGUGCUGAGUCACAAUAACUGCUCGAAUCGCAUGGCUUUACGCCGGCGAUGGUUCAUUCAAAUUUCUGCCCUAUCAGCUUUCGAUGGUAGGAUCGAGGCCUACCAUGGCGUUUACGGGUAACGGAGAAUUAGGGUUCGAUUCCGGAGAGGGAGCCUGAGAGAUGGCUACCACAUCCAAGGAAGGCAGCAGGCGCGUAAAUUGCCCGAAUCCUGACACAGGGAGGUAGUGACAAGAAAUAACAAUACAGGGCUACAUCUAGUCUUGUAAUUGGAAUGAGUACAAUCUACAUCUCUUAACGAGGAUCAAUUGGAGGGCAAGUCUGGUGCCAGCAGCCGCGGUAAUUCCAGCUCCAAUAGCGUAUAUUAAAGUUGUUGCAGUUAGAACGCUCGUAGUCGGAUUUCGGGGCGGGCCGACCGGUCUGCCGAUGGGUACGCACUGGUCGGCGCGUCCUUCCUUCCGGAGACCGUGCCUACUCUUAACUGAGCGGGGGCGGGAGACGGAUCGUUUACUUUGAAAAAAUCAGAGUGUUUCAAGCAGGCAGCUCGCUCUUGCAUGGAUUAGCAUGGGAUAAUGAAAUAGGACUUUGGUGCUAUUUUGUUGG